GUGCGAUAGCUUCAUGGGAAAGCCCUGAUCUUACAUGUCAGUCAAUAUAGGUUCGAAUCCUAUUCGCGCUA
Molecule: transfer RNA, 71 nt
Filed under: Flavobacteriaceae bacterium
Lineage: Bacteria; Pseudomonadati; Bacteroidota; Flavobacteriia; Flavobacteriales; Flavobacteriaceae
Description: tRNA-Val
Rfam family: tRNA
About the family: Transfer RNA (tRNA) molecules are approximately 80 nucleotides in length. Their secondary structure includes four short double-helical elements and three loops (D, anti-codon, and T loops). Further hydrogen bonds mediate the characteristic L-shaped molecular structure. tRNAs have two regions of fundamental functional importance: the anti-codon, which is responsible for specific mRNA codon recognition, and the 3' end, to which the tRNAs corresponding amino acid is attached (by aminoacyl-tRNA synthetases). tRNAs cope with the degeneracy of the genetic code in two manners: having more than one tRNA (with a specific anti-codon) for a particular amino acid; and 'wobble' base-pairing, i.e. permitting non-standard base-pairing at the 3rd anti-codon position.
Source: RNAcentral